This 3071-nucleotide long non-coding RNA is filed under the name Anthonomus grandis grandis. RNAcentral describes it as "uncharacterized LOC126746428". Lineage: Eukaryota; Metazoa; Arthropoda; Insecta; Coleoptera; Curculionidae. The record is from RNAcentral.
GUAACAACAGUGUUAAAUGUGAGAAGGCGCCGAAGGCGGCAACGGCAAGCUUCUUGAAUACAGAACACAAAGAGGGAAAAAUGCCUGGCAAUGGUCAGAAAAUAAGAGUGAAAUUCCAAAAAAGACCCUUUUACAAUUCCAGCAUAUCGUGUAGGCACCCAUGGAAGACGGCAAGAUAGAAAGUGGCGUGCAUAGGGCUGGUAGAUAAGAUUUUAACUCUCUUCCUGAAUAAGGAGGCAGCAAUGGCCAAGGGGGUCCAUGCAAGAAGGACCCAUGUAUUUGAUUUAAAAUAGCAUUGAUGAUCGGAAUCAUCUAUACCAACGGGAAUGGAGUAAAAUUCCAUGAUCUAAAUAAUAAUCCUGAAAUACUAUUGUACAAAUUAGAAAGGGACGUCGGAGAAAAAGAAUCCACAAGCAAGACAGGGGAUCCUACCCCCAAAACCCCCGAAGCCAGGAUGGACCUUUCAUCCAUUCAGGAGGAGCUGCUAAGGUCACCAGCCGCCAGCAACUCAAACGCUGAAGUAACAAGGGAUGACUUUAUAAAUAGAAUGUUCCAACAAGGGAUGACUUUAUAAAUAGAAUUAGGAUUGCUUGUAAUGAAAUAGUACCAUUUUUAAAUAAUUUCACGUUCGGUUAUUCGUCGAUGUGAAUUAUGUAUUGCAGAAAAAGGUUCACAUUUCGAACACCUUCUUUAAAUUUGUUAAUUGUUUGUUAUGUUCUUGUAAUCUGUUGUUUGUUAUAAAUAAGUUAUAAGUAUUUGUGGUAUUGUUCUAUGUUGCGAUUUAUUAGACGGUUGAAAUAAAUUUAUCUUUAAAUCUUAAGUGAUUUUUACAACCCAAUUUGGGGAGAAAACGGAGUCAGAUACGAAAAAAUAUCAAGAGGGCAUUUUUGUUUACAAUUAAAUGCACUAUUUAGAAAUGAUCGUUUAAUCGACUUAAUCCAGUGGCGUCAUAUCUCCGCCACUGGCCAACGUAGAAACAUGACAUUAUUUACGAUUAUGACCCUUCAUCCUAGAAUUGUUUAUACCAAUUUUGAUCUCAAUAUCUUUGAUAGUUCGGAUAUUAAAAAAUAAAAACUUUUUUUUUUGGGAAACUUUGACGCCCUGUAUCUCAGAAACAAAAAGUUUGACGAUCAAUAUUUAUAUGAGAAACCUACCUUAAAAUUAAUUUUUCUAAAUACUGUUAAAGUCCUGCUACAAAAAAGUGAAACACCCUGUAUAAAUAAUAAAACCAAUGUGGCAUUCUUAUUCCAUAUUUGCAGCCAUUCUAGGCCUAAACCGAUUACCGAUCCUUUUUUGGCUUCCUAUUUUUUCGUUUAGAAUAAAAAACUUUUGACUUUCUGUCUCUUCUUUUUCCCAUUUUUUAAAAAUAAACGUAAAAAACUCAAUAGUAUAAAGAACAACGCGCACAAAAUUGGAACACCUUCGCAAUAAAAUAUUUCUAAGUGAACUCCCGAUCAAUUACUCUCAAUCUAAAAAUCAAAAUUCAACAUUUCAAUUUUACAUAAUAUUGAAUUCAUGUUGACCAGUAGCCGAUAUUGUCAUUUGCGCAAAUCGUGCCGAACAAGCGUCGCGCGUUUCUUGAUUUGAUUCAUGCUAGCCCGGCCAUGCGUUGUUGCCAAAUCAUACUACAACAACUUAUCGGCGGUUCAAGAAAUUGUAAAAAAAAUGCCUGAAUUUGAAGAAAAAAAUAAAUUUUGAGAAAUUAAAAAAACUAGCACUUAUCAACUCUUGAAAAAAAUUUGUACAUUUUAUUAGUGAAAACCGCAUUAAAAAAUAUUGUAAAAUAAAAAAGUUAUCCUGCAAACAGGAAUUUGUGGGUGAAUAAUACACUUAACUAAAUAGUUCUUGAAGAAUUACACAAUCUGAAUUACGAAACUUAAAGUAAUAAUCAAAUAAUACCAAAAAGGGGGAAAACAGGAGAACAAAUUUACUUACAUGCGCAAUGUUAAAAAUGCAAUUAAUUGCGAGCAAGAAGGGUGGCGCGGACCGAACGUGUUACUAUAAAUAUUAUUUUACCGAAUUCGACCGUAAACGAUUCUUCAUUUCUUGGAAUAUAUAAAUGCUUAAUCAUUUUUUAGAUUAUCAGUUGGCCUUUAUUUUAUAUUUAAUAUUUAAGUUAAAGAAAAGUUGUUUAAAUCCCAACAACUGUUGUUUCACACAUUUUAGUUGUGGUAUUUAGACCAUGUUCUAUUUUUUUAAAGCACCCAUGGACCAUGUCUUCAUUUAGCCCAAAGGUAUUCAUAAACAUUUUUUUACAUACCCUCUUUUUCUCAUUGAUUUCUCAAGUAAUACCAGUACGUUCCAGCUCUUCUAGAAGGCUCGUCUGCUUUGGAUGAUCUUUUUGUUGUCGUGUACUCUAUAUUUCCCGUGAUAUAAGCUCUUUUCUCCACCCAGUCCAUUUUUCCCAAAAUGUUUAAAAAAUGAGCCUCCUUUCGUCUUCUGUAAAUGUAUUACAGAAGUGUUUAGAAGAUUUUUGACACACGCUUGACCUGCAAGAAUCGCCCAUUUUUCUUUGUAGCCUGGUAAUUCCGUAAAUAAUUUCUUUCUUUUUGUUUUUUUUUGAUACCUGUUUUACCUCAUUCCCCUCAUUCUUUUGUACAUUGUUUUAUUAACCAACCAGUCGGCUUUAUCUGCGUUCUUCUUCCGUUUACGUGUUUUGGUAACUUCUCCAUUUUUUUCAGGUUCAUUGUCGCUACUUGGUUCCUUGUUUUCGGGGUGAGAAUACGAAUUCCAUUGACCUUUGCCUUGAUCAGUAGAGCCGCCAUCAUCUCUUGAGUCAUUUUCCAAACUUUCAGUCUAGGUGUCAUUAAAGUAAGGAUUCAAAAUUUCUUUAUCACAUGUCUUUUCUUUUUGAAGUGCCUGGGAAUCUGUUUUCUUCAUCUUCUGUUUCACUAAGGAUCUCCCUUAUAAGUUCUGCAUUAUCUUGAAGAAAAUCUGGAUCUUAAUGAACUUUGUCAUUAAUAUCUAUUUCACCAACAUCAAUAUAUACAUCUUACAUGCAGUCAACACUCACAAUCUUCUAAAACUGCAGGUUCUAAUGGAGCAGACCACUUGUGGGUCUCAUGCGUAGU